UACGGAGGUGGCAAGCGUUGUUCGGAAUUACUGGGCGUAAAGGGCGCGUAGGCGGCCCGCUAAGUCGAACGUGAAAUCCCCGAGCUCAACUCGGGAACUGCGUCCGAUACUGGUGGGCUUGAAUCCGGGAGAGGGAUGCGGAAUUCCAGGUGUAGCGGUGAAAUGCGUAGAUAUCUGGAGGAACACCGGUGGCGAAGGCGGCAUCCUGGACCGGCAUUGACGCUGAGGCGCGAAAGCUAGGGGAGCAAACGGG
RNAcentral lists this ribosomal RNA (253 nucleotides) under uncultured bacterium. RNAcentral's name for it is "partial 16S ribosomal RNA". It matches the Rfam family "Bacterial small subunit ribosomal RNA", at positions 524 to 776 of the family's 1533-position model. The record is from RNAcentral.